RNAcentral lists this unclassified non-coding RNA (250 nucleotides) under Ascomycota sp. RNAcentral's name for it is "partial contains small subunit ribosomal RNA, internal transcribed spacer 1, and 5.8S ribosomal RNA". The stretch from base 1 to 47 matches the Rfam family "Eukaryotic small subunit ribosomal RNA", at positions 1785 to 1831 of the family's 1831-position model. The record is from RNAcentral. Lineage: Eukaryota; Fungi; Ascomycota.
AAAGUCGUAACAAGGUUUCCGUAGGUGAACCUGCGGAAGGAUCAUUACAAAAACAUUGAAUUUCGUAUUCAUAAACCCCUGCAGUGUACUUGUUCUCGUUGCUUCCAUGGGCAGCAAGCCUUGUGCUGGCGACCCCCCUUAGGGGCCGACCCAUGGGAGGUAAUCAUAAACACUGUCAUCAUAUGGUAUCUGUCUGAACUUGUUUAGUUUAUAAAUGUUAAAACUUUCAACAACGGAUCUCUUGGUUCUC